This 2105-nucleotide unclassified non-coding RNA is filed under the name Daphnia pulicaria. RNAcentral describes it as "leucine-rich repeat-containing protein 28-like, transcript variant X1". Lineage: Eukaryota; Metazoa; Arthropoda; Branchiopoda; Diplostraca; Daphniidae. The record is from RNAcentral.
AUGUUCACUUAUACGACAUGAACGUCGGCGGCCUACCGGCCGGUCUCAUACGAAUGUGGGCGGCCUACCGGCCGCAUACGGAUGUGGGCCUGACGUGAACUCAGCAACUACAUUGCUGUGACAACUAGAAAUCGAGCAACAUGAAACACCAUAUGCAGCUUACCUAAUGCUGUUGACUAGAUUUUUACGGAAGGAGGAACAAUAAGUCGGAUUACAAUCAGCUGAUUGCUGUCGUCUGCAUAUGAAAACAAACGCAGGCGCCGUAGCAACCAUACGCAUGGAAUCGAACGAACGAACGGAUUUAUUUUACGAAUAUCUGUAAUCUAAAUUUAGCGCGAGAAAAUAAACAAACCACCGAGAAAUGGUUCAGGAAAUCUCAGAAAGACUUAUCCUUCAUUGGAACUAUCGUGGGUUUUCCUCAUUUCCAGACGAAUUGUGCGUCUGUGGUAGUCAUGUGUGUGAGCUGUAUCUGAAAUACAACAACAUUACACGCCUGCCAGAUUGGAUUGAUACCAUGACAAAUUUGACAAACAUCUACCUUCAAGCCAAUUACCUGACGGAGUUGCCUGAAGCGAUUCAGUUUCUAACCAGUUUGAAGACGCUGGAUGUCAGCCAGAAUCAUCUGUCCCAAAUUCCAGCAUCGAUAGGGAAACUUGUGGAACUGAGGAGUAUCAUACUGACUCAAAACAAACUAAGUUAUCUGCCCAACUCGCUGGGAAAUCUUCCACACCUCACAACACUACUUUUGAGUAGCAACAGAUUAGCUCAGCUGCAAGAUUCGUUGCACCAGUGCCUCCAUUUGGAGACCCUCCAGCUUGACUUCAACAACUUUACUAGUUUACCAAGUUUCCUGACACGCCUCCCACGGCUCCAGCGAUUAUCAGUCUGCUCUAAUCAGCUUACACAACUGCCUCACCUACCCUUCGCCAGCUUGGAGCGUUUCCUCUGCGAUAACAAUCCCAACCUAACUUACCUACCUUACCCGCUGGCUUGCCAGAUGAAUCGACCGCCAGCCCUGCCGCUGGCCACCCGUAACGUUCUGCACAUUUCUUGCCAUGGAUGUUUCAAGCCAUCCGGAAAGCGAAGAGACCAAGUGCUGGCGCCCAAUGUUCUCGUCAAAGAUUCACCAGAAGGAAUAGCUCUCCAUUUCCUGCCGGAUAUUAUCGACAUUCCUGGCUCCAAUGCGCCGCCCAGUUUGCUUGAGCUCACUUUGCGGUCCAUUUGUUUGCGAAUCUUUAACGAACCGCUCGACACAAGUUUCGACCGGAAGAACCAGCUCCACCACUUCCAGUCCAACUAUCACCUCGCCUACGACCGGCGGAUCGGCGAAUUUUGUCUACCGUCGACUCUAAUUCAACUUUUGCGGGACGGCCCAGCCGCCAUCUGCUUGGCAUGUGGGGCGUUCAUCUUCCGCGGGCCGGCACAUCCGGUCUUUCUGUCCAAAUUCAUCGUUGAAAACGAACGUGCCGUCCAGGACCUCCAGUCGGUGGUCUGCUCUUUACUAUUCUGCUCGGCUUCCUGUUUCCGGACGGCCGCCACAACUGCUGGCGCCGUGGCAGCUGCCGGACUUGAAGACCGACUCGAUUGGGAAUGCAUCACACAUCUCACGACAAGUACCAAUUAGUUGGUGGGACAGAUUCAACCGUUACAUUUCUUUUUCUACGACGACAGCAUUGGAAAAAUUAUUCAUUUUACAGCGAACAGCUGAUUGCAGGGCGUUUUGAUUAUCAAUACGACGCAGUGCUGCCACGGCACUGUUCAGGCCAUUUACGAAACUGGGGCAGCGCUGUUGGAAGCUGGAGUCAUCCCCGGUGCCGAUAUGACUCCUGAGGCCGCCCUCACGAAAUUGUCGUACGUUUUUUCGAAAGACGAGUGGGAUCUCGACACAAAGAGGCAAAUGAUGAUGACGAAUUUGAGGGGAGAAUUGACGCUUCCGCAUACGACGCUGGUCAAAGAAAUGGAACUGAUUGAAGCUUUGGCGCGAUCCUUGCACUUGUCUUCCAGUGAAGAAAUGGACCAACUCAAAGAUGUUCUCUUUCCUUCACUCAUUUGUUCCGCUGUCAAGACGGAAGAUUUAUCGAAACUGGAAACGUUGGAGAAAUAGG